RNAcentral lists this long non-coding RNA (568 nucleotides) under Marmota monax (woodchuck). The record is from RNAcentral. Lineage: Eukaryota; Metazoa; Chordata; Mammalia; Rodentia; Sciuridae.
GUUGUCCCAGCCAGCGGCCACCUGGGUCCUGGUGAUGGUUUUGCCUGCUAGGUCUACCCUUGGAUGUGGGCUCAGCCAGUGAUGUCUCUCUUGGGGCUGAAAGCCAACUUCCUUCCCAAACUGGGCAGGACAGGUCAAAUCAGCAAGUUUGAAAUGAUUCAUAGACAAAGGUGUGGCCACAUCAAUCUUGUGCCGUGGGUGGAACCAACCAGCAGCUGUCCCUCUUUCCCGUGUCCCAGCUAGUCAUUGUUGACAACAUACAUCAAAGGGACCAAAUGCGUCCCCCACAGAGGCUUUGCCUAGAUCCCCUUCACCAGCUUCACUCCAACAUCCACUCAAGCCCAGGGAAUAGAAUCAAAGUGGUCUACUAAACAUCUGAUCACAAGCAUAUUCACAUGAUGCCGGUGACCCCAAACUGCUUCCACCAACCCAGUGGAGGGGCUGCAGGGCAGAGGGGCACAGUGUAGCCCAUUACCCAGAAACCAAACUGGGGGCCAAGGAGCGUUUGAAUCAGCACCUUUCUCUGGGGAUUCUGCUACUCCACUUUUUCCUUUGAUCAGACAAACAU